RNAcentral lists this transfer RNA (87 nucleotides) under Clostridia bacterium. RNAcentral's name for it is "tRNA-Leu". It matches the Rfam family "tRNA". From Rfam's summary of the family: Transfer RNA (tRNA) molecules are approximately 80 nucleotides in length. Their secondary structure includes four short double-helical elements and three loops (D, anti-codon, and T loops). Lineage: Bacteria; Bacillati; Bacillota; Clostridia. RNAcentral also lists the same sequence under 1 other name. The record is from RNAcentral.
GCGGGUGUGGCGGAAUUGGCAGACGCGCUAGAUUCAGGUUCUAGUGGGGGCAACUUCGUGUAGGUUCAAGUCCUAUCACCCGCACCA